RNAcentral lists this ribosomal RNA (440 nucleotides) under uncultured bacterium. Its description in RNAcentral is "bacterial SSU rRNA". It matches the Rfam family "Bacterial small subunit ribosomal RNA", at positions 360 to 793 of the family's 1533-position model. The record is from RNAcentral.
AAUAUUGCACAAUGGGGGAAACCCUGAUGCAGCCAUGCCGCGUGUGUGAAGAAGGCCUUCGGGUUGUAAAGCACUUUCAGUAGGGAGGAAGGUAGUGUAGUUAAUAGCUGCAUUAUUUGACGUUAGCGACAGAAGAAGCACCGGCUAACUCCGUGCCAGCAGCCGCGGUAAUACGGAGGGUGCGAGCGUUAAUCGGAAUUACUGGGCGUAAAGCGCAUGCAGGUGGUUUGUUAAGUCAGAUGUGAAAGCCCGGGGCUCAACCUCGGAAUUGCAUUUGAAACUGGCAGACUAGAGUACUGUAGAGGGGGUAGAAUUUCAGGUGUAGCGGUGAAAUGCGUAGAGAUCUGAAGGAAUACCGGUGGCGAAGGCGGCCCCCUGGACAGAUACUGACACUCAGAUGCGAAAGCGUGGGGAGCAAACAGGAUUAGAUACCCUGGUAG